AGAGAGAGACAUGCGCGCAUAUCAAUAAGCGGAGGAAAAGAAACUAACAAGGAUUCCCCUAGUAACGGCGAGUGAAGCGGGAAGAGCUCAAAUUUGAAAUCUUAAAGGGUUUCCCUUUACGAAUUGUAGUUUAAAGAAGUGUUUUCUGUUGAGGUUUUGGUAAAAGUUCUUUGGAAUAGGACAUCAUAGAGGGUGAGAAUCCCGUAUUUGACCAUUACUUUCAGCUUUGUGAUACACUUUCAAAGAGUCGGAUUGUUUGGGAAUGCAGUCCAAAAUGGGUGGUAAAUUUCAUCUAAAGCUAAAUAUUGGCGAGAGACCGAUAGCGAACAAGUACCGUGAGGGAAAGAUGAAAAGAACUUUGAAAAGAGAGUUAAACAGUACGUGAAAUUGUCAAAAGGGAAGCGUUUGACACCAGUGUUGUUUUUCUGAAAAUCAAUUAAAGAACUGUUUAUGCUAAGUUGUUUAGACUUUAUCAGCUAACUGUUUAGUUUUGAGCUUUUCUUUAAUGCACUUUUCAGUUAACAAGUCAACAUCAAUUUCUUUUGCUGUAAAAAAGCUUGAGGAAGGUGGCUUGAGAUUCGUCUUAAGUGUUUAUAGCCUCUUGCCUAUGCAGUCGGAGAGAUUGAGGUCUGCAGCGUAGAUCCUUCGGGGCUAAAUGCAUUUGUGCUAAGUUAUAGCAUUUUAUAGACAACUUGUUGACUAUGAUUUGUCCUGUAGCUUACUCGCUUAUGUUAUUUUACCUACGCUUAGGAUGUUGAAGACUCUACAGAGAUA
Molecule: ribosomal RNA, 774 nt
Filed under: uncultured Neocallimastigales
Lineage: Eukaryota; Fungi; Neocallimastigomycota; Neocallimastigomycetes; Neocallimastigales
Description: partial large subunit ribosomal RNA
Rfam family: Eukaryotic large subunit ribosomal RNA
Source: RNAcentral